RNAcentral lists this ribosomal RNA (253 nucleotides) under uncultured bacterium. RNAcentral's name for it is "partial 16S ribosomal RNA". It matches the Rfam family "Bacterial small subunit ribosomal RNA", at positions 524 to 776 of the family's 1533-position model. The record is from RNAcentral.
UACGUAGGUGGCAAGCGUUAUCCGGAUUUAUUGGGCGUAAAGGGAACGCAGGCGGUCUUUUAAGUCUGAUGUGAAAGCCUUCGGCUUAACCGGAGUAGUGCAUUGGAAACUGGGAGACUUGAGUGCAGAAGAGGAGAGUGGAACUCCAUGUGUAGCGGUGGAAUGCGUAGAUAUAUGGAAGAACACCAGUGGCGAAGGCGGCUCUCUGGUCUGCAACUGACGCUGAGGCUCGAGAGCAUGGGUAGCGAACAGG